This 320-nucleotide unclassified non-coding RNA is filed under the name plant metagenome. Its description in RNAcentral is "partial contains 5.8S ribosomal RNA, internal transcribed spacer 2, and large subunit ribosomal RNA". The stretch from base 1 to 105 matches the Rfam family "5.8S ribosomal RNA", at positions 50 to 154 of the family's 154-position model. The record is from RNAcentral.
GAAAUGCGAUAAUUAAUGUGAAUUGCAGAAUUCAGUGAAUCAUCGAGUCUUUGAACGCACAUUGCACCCCCUGGUAUUCCGGGGGGUAUGCCUGUCCGAGCGUCAUUGCUGCCCUCAAGCCCGGCUUGUGUGUUGGGUCCUCGUCCCCCCCCGGGGGACGGGCCCGAAAGGCAGCGGCGGCACCGCGUCCGGUCCUCGAGCGUAUGGGGCUUUGUCACACCGCUCUCGUAGGCCCGACCGGCGCUGGCCGACGCUGAAAAGCAACCAUUAUUUCUCCAGGUUGACCUCGGAUCAGGUAGGGAUACCCGCUGAACUUAAGC